UAGCUACAGGCUUAACACAUGCAAGUCGAGGGGCAGCAUGGUCUUAGCUUGCUAAGGCCGAUGGCGACCGGCGCACGGGUGAGUAACACGUAUCCAACCUGCCGUCUACUCUUGGACAGCCUUCUGAAAGGAAGAUUAAUACAAGAUGGCAUCAUGAGUCCGCAUGUUCACAUGAUUAAAGGUAUUCCGGUAGACGAUGGGGAUGCGUUCCAUUAGAUAGUAGGCGGGGUAACGGCCCACCUAGUCUUCGAUGGAUAGGGGUUCUGAGAGGAAGGUCCCCCACAUUGGAACUGAGACACGGUCCAAACUCCUACGGGAGGCAGCAGUGAGGAAUAUUGGUCAAUGGGCGAGAGCCUGAACCAGCCAAGUAGCGUGAAGGAUGACUGCCCUAUGGGUUGUAAACUUCUUUUAUAAAGGAAUAAAGUCGGGUAUGGAUACCCGUUUGCAUGUACUUUAUGAAUAAGGAUCGGCUAACUCCGUGCCAGCAGCCGCGGUAAUACGGAGGAUCCGAGCGUUAUCCGGAUUUAUUGGGUUUAAAGGGAGCGUAGAUGGAUGUUUAAGUCAGUUGUGAAAGUUUGCGGCUCAACCGUAAAAUUGCAGUUGAUACUGGAUAUCUUGAGUGCAGUUGAGGCAGGCGGAAUUCGUGGUGUAGCGGUGAAAUGCUUAGAUAUCACGAGGAACUCCGAUUGCGAAGGCAGCCUGCUAAGCUGCAACUGACAUUGAGGCUCGAAAGUGUGGGUAUCAAACAGGAUUAGAUACCCUGGUAGUCCACACGGUAAACGAUGAAUACUCGCUGUUUGCGAUAUACAGCAAGCGGCCAAGCGAAAGCGUUAAGUAUUCCACCUGGGGAGUACGCCGGCAACGGUGAAACUCAAAGGAAUUGACGGGGGCCCGCACAAGCGGAGGAACAUGUGGUUUAAUUCGAUGAUACGCGAGGAACCUUACCCGGGCUUAAAUUGCAGAUGAAUUACGGUGAAAGCCGUAAGCCGCAAGGCAUCUGUGAAGGUGCUGCAUGGUUGUCGUCAGCUCGUGCCGUGAGGUGUCGGCUUAAGUGCCAUAACGAGCGCGACCCUUGUUGUCAGUUACUAACAGGUUCCGCUGAGGACUCUGACAAGACUGCCAUCGUAAGAUGUGAGGAAGGUGGGGAUGACGUCAAAUCAGCACGGCCCUUACGUCCGGGGCUACACACGUGUUACAAUGGGGGGUACAGAGGGCCGCUACCACGCGAGUGGAUGCCAAUCCCAAAAACCUCUCUCAGUUCGGACUGGAGUCUGCAACCCGACUCCACGAAGCUGGAUUCGCUAGUAAUCGCGCAUCAGCCACGGCGCGGUGAAUACGUUCCCGGGCCUUGUACACACCGCCCGUCAAGCCAUGGGAGCCGGGGGUACCUGAAGUGCGUAACCGCGAGGAGCGCCCUAGGGUAAAACUGGUGACUGGG
RNAcentral lists this ribosomal RNA (1438 nucleotides) under uncultured organism. RNAcentral's name for it is "SSU rRNA". It matches the Rfam family "Bacterial small subunit ribosomal RNA". The record is from RNAcentral.